GGCAUGCUUACACUGCAAGUCGAACGGCAGCGGGGGAGAAGCUUGCUUCUCCUGCCGGCGAGUGGCGAACGGGUGAGUAAUACAUCGGAACGUGCCCUGUAGUGGGGGAUAACUAGUCGAAAGAUUAGCUAAUACCGCAUACGACCGAGGGUGAAAGUGGGGGACCGCAAGGCCUCAUGCUAUAGGAGCGGCCGAUGUCUGAUUAGCUAGUUGGUGGGGUAAAGGCCCACCAAGGCGACGAUCAGUAGCUGGUCUGAGAGGACGAUCAGCCACACUGGGACUGAGACACGGCCCAGACUCCUACGGGAGGCAGCAGUGGGGAAUUUUGGACAAUGGGCGAAAGCCUGAUCCAGCAAUGCCGCGUGUGUGAAGAAGGCCUUCGGGUUGUAAAGCACUUUUGUCCGGAAAGAAAUGGCUCUGGUUAAUACCUGGGGUCGAUGACGGUACCGGAAGAAUAAGGACCGGCUAACUACGUGCCAGCAGCCGCGGUAAUACGUAGGGUCCAAGCGUUAAUCGGAAUUACUGGGCGUAAAGCGUGCGCAGGCGGUUGUGCAAGACCGAUGUGAAAUCCCCGAGCUUAACUUGGGAAUUGCAUUGGUGACUGCACGGCUAGAGUGUGUCAGAGGGGGGUAGAAUUCCACGUGUAGCAGUGAAAUGCGUAGAGAUGUGGAGGAAUACCGAUGGCGAAGGCAGCCCCCUGGGAUAACACUGACGCUCAUGCACGAAAGCGUGGGGAGCAAACAGGAUUAGAUACCCUGGUAGUCCACGCCCUAAACGAUGUCAACUAGUUGUUGGGGAUUCAUUUCCUUAGUAACGUAGCUAACGCGUGAAGUUGACCGCCUGGGGAGUACGGUCGCAAGAUUAAAACUCAAAGGAAUUGACGGGGACCCGCACAAGCGGUGGAUGAUGUGGAUUAAUUCGAUGCAACGCGAAAAACCUUACCUACCCUUGACAUGCCACUAACGAAGCAGAGAUGCAUUAGGUGCUCGAAAGAGAAAGUGGACACAGGUG
Molecule: ribosomal RNA, 1011 nt
Filed under: Ralstonia mannitolilytica
Lineage: Bacteria; Pseudomonadati; Pseudomonadota; Betaproteobacteria; Burkholderiales; Burkholderiaceae
Description: bacterial SSU rRNA
Rfam family: Bacterial small subunit ribosomal RNA
Source: RNAcentral